RNAcentral lists this long non-coding RNA (2004 nucleotides) under Homo sapiens (human). RNAcentral describes it as "HSALNT0403704". The record is from RNAcentral. Lineage: Eukaryota; Metazoa; Chordata; Mammalia; Primates; Hominidae.
GUAAAACCAUCUGGAUAUUGGUCACCAAAAUGUUGAAGAAGACAUCCAGAAGUAUUCUUAAUUAUCAUCUUUGUCAUAACUAUGUUACGGCUGUUGUGAGACCCCAAUCCACAAAUUGACUUGCAAAGGACAGGAAAGUUCACUCCUAUAUUUUGAAGGCACUAUAUAAUUGGAAAGAAGAUAGCUGACAUGUUGAGAUUAACUUUGGCCCCGAUUGUUUGCUCCUUUUAAAUAAGGAGAAGCAAAGCUAGGAAUUCUAUGACAUGUCUUUGUUUCUGGUGAGAUCAUUAUGAGUCUUUUCACAUGUCAAGAGAUUUCACUGUGUAAGCUAAAAAUAAAAUUCUAAGCCCCCAUUGACUGAACGACCCUCUUUUGUAACCAAAGGGACCCCAGAAAAAGCUUAAGAACUUAGUUUGCAGCCAUACCGGAAUGGGAGGUCAGACAGAGCAGUCUAUUUGUGGCAAUAAGAUAUCAAAUUAUAAACAGAACUGAAGGCCAUGCCAGACAAGGGUUAAGUCACACAGCCUUGGACUUAAAAAAUAAACUAUGCUCCAACUGCUACAAGGCUUUUCUUUUUCUCAAGGAGGUAAACAAGCACUGGCCUCAAGAUAAGCAAUAUUAAAACAACUACAGCUCAUCCAACUCUUAGACACUGACUUCCAGCCCCUGUUCCACCAGAUAUACCUUUCAUUAAACAAGAUCCUGAUUUCAGUAACUUUCUCCAGAGAAGAAGACCACCGACCUUAGACUGGUUCUGGUUGGAUUAAAGAGAGUGUACCCUUGCAUGCCAUUGUGUCCUGCAAGACAUUUUGACGUAUAGAACCUAAUUAUAAAACCAUUAAAUGUUAAGUCUCUACCCCGAAGUGGACAAGGAUUGUAUGUUACAUGCAUUUUUGUUCAAUAUGCAUGUGUCAGGAUCAUCUUCAUAAAUAUUCAUAGCUCCGCCUGUAACCAGUUUAAUAUGUAUGUUUAGCCAACCCAUUCGGCAUAAAGCUCUUGCCCCAACCCCUCUUUUUUCAAAGUGCCUGUCUUUGAUCUUGGUUGGACACAUGUUUUCCAGCCUACGGGAUGACCACCUUGCAGAUUGUCACCCUUUAAUUAUGAAGAAAUGAAGUCUCCAUUUCUACUUUCCAAAUUUAUCGAUAUUGUGGUUACAUUUUUUAAGUUAGCAGUUAUUUAGACCUUACUUUUUUCUAGGCUCUUUGUUGUCUCAUAUUGUGACUGGGCUUGGCUGGAUGACCAGCAGUGCCAUUUCUUCUUCUGAGGGGGAGUAACUAGACAUUUCCCACCUCCCUUACAGUUCAGUGUGGUUAUGUGACUGGUUUCUAGCCAAUAGGAACUAAGAUGAUGUCUUCCCAACAUGAUCUUUGGCUCUCUCUCUUUUUCCAAAUAUAUAGCAAGAAGGAAAGGAUUUCAAGUCACUAGGAAUGAUGGAACCACAAAAUAGAAGGAACUUGAAUAGAAGGAACUUUGAAUAGAAGGAUUGAAAGAAAGCAGAGCCUCUCUUUCAAUCCGCACUGGACUGUGGCAAGAUCAAGAAAUUAACAUUGAAUGUGUAAGCCACUGAAAAUUUGCAGAUGUUGGUUAGUACAUACUGAUUAAUGCACCUAUUAAGAUAAACUUAAGAGUAGGUUUUGAAUAAUUCAAAUAUCCUACAAAAUUCAGGUAGGUUUGGAAAAUUUGCAAGGACUUUAUUAAUAUUAUUUAUUCUCUAUCUCCUAGUAAUGCCACUGAACUUUUAAUUAUGUAAGGGUUGGAAAGUGCCAACAUCUACCUGUAGACAUAGCUUCUCAAUACUGGAUUUUGGUUAAUCAAUGCAAAGGAAGAGGCAAAGCUGCGCAAUACCUAAAACAUUUCAGACAGAUGAAAAUCUGAUCUCUGUUUAAAGUUGGUCUCUGAGAAAGAUAAUUUUCAGCCUCCUGAAAAUGGAAUAUUCCACAAUCUUGUUCUCAAAUUCCUACAUGUCUACAACUCUCUGACUUGAAAGGCAGCUGUCUCUUUUAG